This 417-nucleotide long non-coding RNA is filed under the name Fukomys damarensis (Damara mole-rat). RNAcentral's name for it is "lncRNA (ENSFDAG00000029583.1)". The record is from RNAcentral. Lineage: Eukaryota; Metazoa; Chordata; Mammalia; Rodentia; Bathyergidae.
AUGCCUCCUAAGCACCCGGCCUUCCCAGACAGGAGUUCUUCCGCCAGCACCUCCCAGCGAGUGACUGCCCACUCCCUUCCACUGGGAACCAUGGUGGUGUCACAGCCAGCCUUCUCCCUUCAGUCUUCUGGGCCAUGCUACAAGGCAUUCAGAGCACAAGAGUUGUGUAGUUCAUUUGGGAAGCAGUGCCAAGUCAAGGCCCAGGGAAUACAGACGGUGUCUCCCCAUCUGCUCACCGGCCAGACCAUGUCUGAGUGGGAGAGUUUCAGCGCUACAGACCUCACCUGCAGAGCAGUUUAUUAACCUUUAUAAUGCAACACCAAAGAAAUUCUGCUCUGCAAUUUAGGUUCCCUAUCACCAAGGUAAGACAAGAGGCCUCAGAAUAUCACCUGGGCAAGUAUAAAGUACUUUAAAUCA